RNAcentral lists this ribosomal RNA (133 nucleotides) under uncultured bacterium. RNAcentral's name for it is "partial 16S ribosomal RNA". The record is from RNAcentral.
CAGGUACCGUCAAGGCACAGAGAUAUUAGCCCUGUGUUUUUCUUUCCUGACAAAAGUGCUUUACAACCCUAAGGCCUUCAUCACUCACGCGGCAUUGCUGGAUCAGGCUUUCGCCCAUUGUCCAAUAUUCCCC